RNAcentral lists this ribosomal RNA (497 nucleotides) under uncultured bacterium. RNAcentral describes it as "partial 16S ribosomal RNA". It matches the Rfam family "Bacterial small subunit ribosomal RNA", at positions 28 to 507 of the family's 1533-position model. The record is from RNAcentral.
GACGAACGCUGGCGGCGUGCCUAAUACAUGCAAGUUGAGCGCUGAAGGUUGGUCCUUGUACCAACUGGCUGAGCCGCGAACGGGUGAGUAACGCGUGGGGAAUCUGCCUUUGAGCGGGGGACAACAGUUGGAAACGAAUGAUAAUACCGCAUAAAAACUUUAAACACAAGUUUUAAGUUUGAAAGAUGCAAUUGCAUCAUUCAACGAUGAUCCCGCGUUGUAUUAGCUAGUUGGGGAGGUAAAGGCUUACCAAGGCGAGGAUACAUAGCCGACCUGAGAGGGUGAUCGGCCACAUUGGGACUGAGACACGGCCCAAACUCCUACGGGAGGCAGCAGUAGGGAAUCUUCGGCAAUGGACGAAAGUCUGACCGAGCAACGCCGCGUGAGUGAAGAAGGUUUUCGGAUCGUAAAACUCUGUUGGUAGAGAAGAACGGUGGUGAGAGUGGAAAGCUCAUCAAGUGACGGUAACUACCCAGAAAGGGACGGCUAACUACGUG